UCCUCCUCGGUCUCCCCACCUUUCAGAUUCUGAGCAGGCUUGAGCUGGGGGGCUGGGCCCCACCCACUGACCCUGCUGUGGCCCCAGAAGGCUUGGAUUUGCCCACCUGCCCCAGAGAGUCUCCCCAAAGCUGGGGUGUUCUGUGGGGGGAGGGGCAGAGCCUGCGCAGGGCCACACUCGCCCCCACCCGUGGGGAGGACGACAUGUUAGUCACACGACCCCAACGGGCCUCUCGGGAGCAGUGAGGAGGCCCAGAGCACGUCCAGCGGCCGGACCUGUCCUGGGGCCGAGCUGACCGGGACGCUUACGUGGGGUGUUGGGCUUCCCCACCACCCUGGGCUGGGACAGGCCCACACAGGAAGCGCCGCUGCUGGGGGAGGCUUCCUGGGGGGGGGAGGCCUGGGGGGGUUAGGCUUUGGGGAUGGACGUGAGAACAGACAGGGCUGCCAGGAGCUGGGUUUGAAUCCCACCUUCGUUGCUCAGCCGGGAGGCUCCUGGACUGGGUUCCUCUGAGGGAUGGUCUCGUGCCCGCCUGGCCCCAGGGGGCAGAAGGCCUUGGGCCUCCUUCCUCCCCCAGGAGGCCCCAUUCUGCCCAGGAGCCCUCACCGGGGGCUGUUCUCGGGCACGGAGGACCCAGAGCUCGGGCCGCCCGCCUUGAGAGGCGAGAGAUGGGCCGGGGAGGGGUUGGGGAGCCCCCGGGCCGCGGGGUCACCCUGGGCCUGCUCCUGCAGGUGGACAAGCUGGACGCCUCGGAGAGCCUGCGGAGGGACGAGGAGCAGGGGGCGGAGCCGGCGCCCAUCGUGUUCGGCCAGCAGCUGAUGCUGACGGCGGGCCCCACUGCGGCGCCUUCUCAGGGCGCCUUCUCCUACGGCUACGGGGCUCCGGCCUUCCCCCAGGCCCCCGUUUACAGCUUCAACAUGUAGCGGGGGCUCCGCGGGGCCCCCUCCCCGCCCGUCCACCUGGCCGUCGCGUGGCAGCGCUUCCCGAGGAGCCGCUCUGUUAUUUAUUGUCUCUAACGCUCUGUCGCCUCCCGGCCGGCCGCCCGCAGGGCCCUUCCUGCCCCAGCCGCGGGGAGCCGGCGGCCCCUUCCCACUUCCAGCUCUGCGGCCGGGGAGCCCCCAUCCCAUCCGGGGCGCAGAGACUGCCUUAUCUGCCCCUUCCCUGUCUGCGCUGGCGUCCCAGAAGAGCGCGUGGCCGGAGGCUGAAGGAAAGAAGAGGGAGGCAGGGAGUCUUGGAGGUGGCCGUCUCCGGUGCGUAGGUCAUUGGUCAGAGUCGGCUGCUUGGGGUGGCGUGUUGUGGGGUAGGGCCCCGGCCCCCCCUCGGGUCGGGCCGCCCCCGCCUUGCCUGCGGUCUGGUUCCUGUGGGCCC
This 1368-nucleotide long non-coding RNA is filed under the name Monodelphis domestica (gray short-tailed opossum). RNAcentral's name for it is "lncRNA (ENSMODG00000041487.1)". The record is from RNAcentral. Lineage: Eukaryota; Metazoa; Chordata; Mammalia; Didelphimorphia; Didelphidae.